RNAcentral lists this long non-coding RNA (373 nucleotides) under Carica papaya (papaya). Its description in RNAcentral is "long non-coding RNA (CPAP_LNC013703)". The record is from RNAcentral. Lineage: Eukaryota; Viridiplantae; Streptophyta; Magnoliopsida; Brassicales; Caricaceae.
CAGCGCCACGUCAGCAGCCACGUCAGCGGCCCAGUCAGCAGCCCUGGCCAACCAGGACCUGCCGCGUGGCAAGGCCACGCCGACCCGGGAACGGGCCACGUGGGCGAUCCGCGUGCGCGCGAUCGGAUGGCCCAGAUGCAUCCCCGCGCACACGGAUGGCCCAGAUCAAGCGUGCGCAUGGACGGCCAAGAUGCACGCGCACGGACGGCCCAGAUGCACACGCACGAACGGCUCAGAUUCAAUCAAGUACGGACGGCCCAGAUUUAAUCGCGAUGGACGGCCCAGAUUAAAUCAAGAUGGACGGCUGUGAUUAAAAGGCAAAGGGUAUAAAUAAACCCCCCACACCUGACCACAAAAACCCUAGCCGCCAGCC